This 630-nucleotide long non-coding RNA is filed under the name Daphnia pulicaria. RNAcentral describes it as "uncharacterized LOC124349161, transcript variant X2". The record is from RNAcentral. Lineage: Eukaryota; Metazoa; Arthropoda; Branchiopoda; Diplostraca; Daphniidae.
UAUUUUGUUCCAAGACGCAGCAGAAAUGGGUUGUUGGUUGUGACGUUUCUCACGAUGAAAAUUAAAAGACUUGGAAUUGCCUGUACAUUUCCGAAAUGGCGUGCCUCGUGUGUCUCGCUGCCUGUUAGGCGUACGUCUCAUCCCAUGCAAAUCAACAGCAAAAAGUAUAACAAACACUUCUUUAACGCUGGUGGUGGUUACCUUGUUGCAGCCAAAUAGUGAAAGGUGUGACGAAGACAGAUUGAACCAUUGUAUGGAGCAUGUGGUUGCAGUGUAAUCCCGAAGUUGCUGUGCUGUUGUAGUUGAGCUGUUCCAUCUGGGUUCCCGACUUAAAAAUUGUUGUGUUGUCGUUUAUGCCAUAUGAAUUGCUUUUUGUGUUGCUGAGUUAAAAGUUUGAUCUGUUGUCUUUUGAGUUUUCAUUCAAUCAUGCAGUAUACAAUUGAGGCAACCUGAUCAAUAUCAGGUUUGACACAGUCGAGAACUGCUAGAUAAAACAAGCUUUCUGCGCCAAACAAAUAAUAACUUGACUAUAACUUGCAUCAUGUUAUUAUCGCGGUAGAGAAAGCGACAGGCCCCCCCCCCCUGGGGGCCACAUGAAAAAUAUAUGUAAAUAUUAUAAAAUUUUGUAUG